UGAAUCCCGUUCAGACCAGAAAUAACCCCUAGAGAAAGUUACGAAACCCACCGUCAAGCGUGUCAGUGAUAUUUCUUCCACGCUCGAUCGAAACCGUAAAAAGCUGGCAGAGACUAUUUUCAUGGCGUUCUACUCUCUCCUUCCACCGUAUCAAAAAAUUGGAAGCGAACCUCAUUUACAGUAGUAACAUAGCUAUAGUUUUACCAUGUAUGGCUUCUUCUUCAGAGUUCGGACUAGAUUAAUAGAUAAGGAGAAAUUAAAGGCAUGAAUUAAGAAGUGUUGAUCUAGCUAAAAGUGAUGAGCGUCGUCGUCGUCGUCGUCGUCGUACGUUUUGCCACUUGUGUGGAGACGGUGCACCGGCCUGACUAAAAGCAGAAAGAAAUAUAUUAAACAACACAUGAAAGGAAGAAUAUAAUACUAGAUUUACGUAUUCCAUCCGUAAUUUUCACGCUUCACUGUUACUUGUUAUAAGAUUGUGAGCAACUCUUUCUGCGUUCCGGAGCUCGGGCAAACGAACGACUGAUGUUUCACCUUCAGUUCAGUUAAUUCAAAAUUGAUAUGCACAGAAAGAGAAAUUUCUGAAAAUGGAACUGCAUGCGCUCGUCUUCUUUCCUGUUUUUAUGCUUCUUUUAGUUCUCGGAAUCAUUAAAGCGAUUCUAAUUGGACCAAUUGUCUUUCUUGUGAUAAGUUUGGGGAAUUUAGCGGUUAUCGUCGGGUUAUGGCCAUUUCAUGUGGUCUGGACCUACUACUGUGUUGCGAAAAGUAAAAAUUUCGGUGGAUUCAUGAAAGGGUUCUUGUUUCAAACCCUGCCCAUUCCAUUACUACUAGUAUGGCCAUUGGUGGGAGUAAUUGGGAGCAUCUUUACGGGUUUAGGGUAUGGCUUCUUUUGGCCUUUAAUGGCGACAUUUGAAGUGAUAGUUGAGGGUGUUCCAAACAAAUUCAUCAGAUGCUUCACGGAUGGUACUUGGAGCUCUAUUUUGGUUGGAUGCACCAUUGUCCGUGACUUUUGGGAUUUUUGCUUUUAUUCCUACUUCUCGGUCAUGGAUGGAUUGCUGGAGCAGAAAACUACGGAGCCUAUAGAAAUCAAGGUUUCUCAGAUACCAGGAUGCACGUUGGCCGGAAUUUUGGGGGUGUUGAUAGAUUUUCCGGUCACAAGUUUUAUUGUGUUAUAUAAAGCUCCCGUCAUGCUAUUCAAAGGAUGGAGGCGAUUGGUCCGAGAUCUCUUUGGAAGAGCAGAUCCCUUCCUGAAAACUGCUUGGGUCCCCUUUGACGGGCUUUCGAUUAUUUUGUGGCCUGUUGCUGUUGGUCUCACCUUCUUGGCUGGAAUUAGUUCAAGCUUCUUUCUUGGCUUUUAUGCUGCUGUUGUUGCAUAUCAGGAAAAUUCUAUAAAGAAAGGAAUACUCUAUGCCAUUGCCGUAGUAUCUUUGUUUGAUGAGUACACCAAUGAUUUUCUUUACCUCCGAGAAGGAUCCUGCUUUCCAAGACCUAGAUAUCGCAAGGGAGUUUCUCCAACUCUACCAUUACUUCCUCUAAGGCGAUUGCCAGAAAAGACCGAGGCUCUUCGUGCCAAAAAAUCUCCAUUAAGGACAGCUUCAAUGAAAGUGAAGACACUUAAGGCUGUAGUGAUAUGGAAUAACUUCUUUGAGGCGUGUGAGAAUGUUGGGAAAGAGCUAAUCAGAGAUGGAGCCAUUGGGUUACAGGAUUUGGAGGAAUGGCAACUGUCCAAAAACAAGAUAAUUAACAUCGGCAUUCCUGCAUAUUCAUUUCUGCUGUGCUUUCUCCGCUCAAUCAAGAAUGGUUCCGAUGGCUUUCUCAUGCGUAAUAAUGUUGAACUUACAAAUAUAAAUAGGCCUGAGGGCAGGGUUUUUGACUGGUUCUUUGAGCCAAUGUCUCUUAUGAAAGAGCAGAUUAAGAAACUAAAUUUACGGGAGACUGAAGAGUUGUAUCUGCAGAAAUUGACUCUCUACUGUGGUGAUAUGCAAAGAUUAGCAGCUUGGGAGAAUGGUGGAUUUCCUCCAGAUCCAGAGGAAAAGAUUAGAGAAGCUGAGUUGGAGGAGAUAAGUAGAAGGCUGCAAGGCUUUUGUUUGAAACUCUCAAGGCUGCCAACCUUCCGACGCCGGUUUGAUGAAGUGGUGAAAGCUUUAGUGAAAGAAGCAAAGCAGAGAUCAAGUGGGUGUGACAGCGGUAGUAAUAUAAAAGAAGCUGUCUAGUCAUUUUCGACGCUGUGUCCCUGUAGGGUUGUCAGUGGGUCGGGUCUAUUCCGAUAGAUCCAAGCUGACCAAACCGGUUAUAUCGGUUUGGCUUACUUGAUUUUCGUCCCUACCAAUAAUUGGGUCAGGACCAAUUCUAGAUAGAGGUGGGACACUUUGAAUUAAAUUUCAGAUCUUACAGUGGGAGCUGAUGGUAAUUACUUUCUGGUCAAGGAGAUUGCAAGACCGUUAGCAACAUUGUAUAUAUCCUAUUGCGAUUGUCCAGGCAUUUGGAUUUGGAGCUGCUUCAGAAGAAGUCAUCGAAGUAAGUAAGAAGGUUGAGUUCUUAACAAAUUAGAACUCUUGUUGGUUGCAGACGCCCAUCAUUCCCUAAAUGAUCAUUAUCGAGUCCUCUACAAGCCACCAUCAAUACACCAGGUAAUAACUAAUCCAAAUAGGCCGCUUCACUUUUUCAAGAACGACUUCUGCACCCUUAAUUUACUGCUCAUACACUUUGUGGACUGUAGCCCAUCAUAUAGUUGAUCUUCGUAUAAUAAAUACACACCAACAGAAAGGACCCUUGAACAGGGUGUGGAUUUCUUCUCCUCCGGUCAUUUCAUGUAUGUAUGUAAAUUUUUUUUUUUUUUUUCAAGUGUUGGGACCCUUGUCCAAUGUAAAUGAGCAACGCCAUCCAAGUCCCCCUUUGAAUCUAUGUGCUGUAAUUGACAUAAACAUCAGUCUCACACGUAGAUAAUAGCCCAUCCUCAUUCUUUUUCAUUCCAUGUAUGCAUUUUACUGAUAAAAACCACUUAAUGAUGAAUUCAUUAUCCCCAAUUCCCUCAUUGCUUCAUCAUUGACCGACUUAGUCACCAACUCACAAUUGUAGGUGAAGUUUGAGGAGAGGUUAUGCAGCCCUCAUUGACAUGUAAGCUAACGAAACAGUAGGAUGAGCACCUACAGAUUUGGCAAAAUCUUGAACUCGCCUUUGCAUGAUACCCCAUCGGUUAGAAACAGCAUGGCCUGAAUCGCCUCUGUUUAGCAAUCCGUGGAACAAGGGCCUUUGCUCUCCGUGCUCUUCUUAGCCUCUCCUGAAAGGGAUAGGGUUUAUAGUUACUUUAACAUCUGAAUUGGUGUUGUAUUUGACAAUGUAAUCAAGGUCAACAUGCAGCAUGAGUGCAAGAGAGAGCUGAUUUUCUUAAGCCCGUGCGCUAAAACGUAUAUGAGUUUUUGGAGGGAUCCAAUUCACUGCAAAGAUCUCUUUGAUUUAAUGUAUUUUCCUCUCUUUUGCUUUUUUUUUUUUUUGCUA
This is an RNA transcript of Nelumbo nucifera (sacred lotus), 3495 nucleotides long. It is a transcript of the gene named putative membrane protein At3g27390, with no coding region annotated. The record is from RefSeq and is a predicted model, not a curated record. Lineage: Eukaryota; Viridiplantae; Streptophyta; Magnoliopsida; Proteales; Nelumbonaceae.